CUGAGUAAUUGGGUCUUUAUGGCCCAUACUCCCACCCUUUUGUAUACCUUACCAUAUUUAAGUUGCCUUGGUAGGAAAAAAACCCUUUACUGGGCCCACCCUACCAUUGGAACUCUUUUAAACUCUUAUCAAUUGAGUCGUCUGAGAAAAUAAAUUCAAAUGAAUUA
This 167-nucleotide unclassified non-coding RNA is filed under the name uncultured Tubeufiaceae. RNAcentral's name for it is "sequence contains ITS1". Lineage: Eukaryota; Fungi; Ascomycota; Dothideomycetes; Tubeufiales; Tubeufiaceae. The record is from RNAcentral.